UACCUAGCGGCGGACGGGUGAGUAAAGCAUGGGCAACCUGCCCUUGAGACGGGGAUAGCCUGCCGAAAGGCGGAGUAAUCCGCGAUGUGUUCGCCCUGCGCAUGCAGGGACGACCAAAGGUGGGGAUCCGAAAGGACCUACCGCUCAAGGAUGGGCCCAUGUCCCAUCAGCUUGUUGGUGAGGUAACGGCUCACCAAGGCUUACGGGUAGCUGGUCUGAGAGGAUGGUCAGACACACUGGGACUGAGACACUGACCAGACUCCUACGGGAGGCUGCAGUCGAGGAUCUUGGACAAUGUGCGAAAGCGUGAUCCAGCGACGUCGCGUGCAGGAUGACGGCCUUCGGGUUGUAAACUGCUGUCGUGAGGGAGAAAUGGCGCGGGCGCUAACAUCGUUCGCGCGUGAUAGUACCUCAGGAGGAAGACACGGCUAACUCUGUGCCAGCAGCCGCGGUAAUACAGAGGUGUCGAGCGUUGUUCGGAUUUACUGGGCGUAAAGGGUGCGUAGGCGGUUCCGUGUGUCGGAUGUGAAAUCCUGCCGCUCAACGGCAGAACGGCAUCCGAAACUACGGUGCUUGAGUUCGGGAGAGGAAGGCGGAAUUCCAGGUGUAGCGGUGAAAUGCGUAGAUAUCUGGAGGAACACCCGUGGCGAAGGCGGCCUUCUGGACCGAUACUGACGCUGAGGCACGAAGGCCGGGGGAGCAAACAGGAUUAGAUACCCUGGUAGUCCCGGCAGUAAACGGUGUGCACUUGGUGUGGGGGGAGUUACUCCCCUCCGUGCCGGA
This 783-nucleotide ribosomal RNA is filed under the name uncultured Chlorobiota bacterium. Its description in RNAcentral is "bacterial SSU rRNA". It matches the Rfam family "Bacterial small subunit ribosomal RNA", at positions 89 to 850 of the family's 1533-position model. The record is from RNAcentral. Lineage: Bacteria; Pseudomonadati; Chlorobiota.